Molecule: ribosomal RNA, 511 nt
Filed under: uncultured bacterium
Lineage: Bacteria
Description: partial 16S ribosomal RNA
Rfam family: Bacterial small subunit ribosomal RNA
Source: RNAcentral
GAUGAACGCUGGCGGCGUGCCUAAUACAUGCAAGUCGAACGAAACUUCUUUAUCACCGAGUGCUGCACUCACCGAUAAAGAGUUGAGUGGCGAACGGGUGAGUAACACGUGGGCAACCUGCCCAAAAGAGGGGGAUAACACUUGGAAACAGGUGCUAAUACCGCAUAACCAUAGUUACCGCAUGGUAACUAUGUAAAAGGUGGCUAUACUACCGCUUUUGGAUGGGCCCGCGGCGCAUUAGCUAGUUGGUAGGGUAAAGGCUUACCAAGGCAAUGAUGCGUAGCCGAAUUGAGAGGUUGAUCGGCCACAUUGGGACUGAGACACGGCCCAAACUCCUACGGGAGGCAGCAGUAGGGAAUCUUCCACAAUGGGCGAAAGCCUGAUGGAGCAACGCCGCGUGGGUGAAGAAGGUCUUCGGAUCGUAAAACCCUGUUGUUAGAGAAGAAAGUGCGUGAGAGUAACUGUUCACGUUUCGACGGUAUCUAACCAGAAAGCCACGGCUAACUACGUG